GANGAAAGUCUGANGAGCNNGCCGCNUGAGGNGAAGNNGGGUUUCGGNUCGUAAAANUCNGUUGUUAAAGAAGACAUAUCUGAGAGUAACUNUCAGGUANUGACGGUAUUUAACCAGAAAGCCACGGCUAACUACGUGCCAGCAGCCGCGGUAAUACGUAGGUGGCAAGCGUUGUCCGGAUUUAUUGGGCGUAAAGCGAGCGCAGGCGGUUUUUUAAGUCUGAUGUGAAAGCUUUCGGCUCAACCGAAGAAGUGCAUCGGAAACUGGGAAACUUGAGUGCAGAAGAGGACAGUGGAACUCCAUGUGUAGCGGUGAAAUGCGUAGAUAUAUGGAAGAACACCAGUGGCGAAGGCGGCUGUCUGGUCUGUAACUGACGCUGAGGCUCGAAAGUAUGGGUAGCAAACAGGAUUAGAUACCCUGGUAGUCCAUACCGUAAACGAUGAAUGCUAAGUGUUGGAGGGUUUCCGCCCUUCAGUGCUGCAGCUAACGCAUUAAGCAUUCCGCCUGGGGAGUACGGCCGCAAGGCUGAAACUCAAAGGAAUUGACGGGGGCCCGCACAAGCGGUGGAGCAUGUGGUUUAAUUCGAAGCUACGCGAAGAACCUUACCAGGUCUUGACAUACUAUGCAAAUCUAAGAGAUUAGACGUUCCCUUCGGGGACAUGGAUACAGGUGGUGCAUGGUUGUCGUCAGCUCGUGUCGUGAGAUGUUGGG
This 711-nucleotide ribosomal RNA is filed under the name Lactiplantibacillus plantarum. RNAcentral's name for it is "bacterial SSU rRNA". It matches the Rfam family "Bacterial small subunit ribosomal RNA", at positions 374 to 1079 of the family's 1533-position model. The record is from RNAcentral. Lineage: Bacteria; Bacillati; Bacillota; Bacilli; Lactobacillales; Lactobacillaceae.